RNAcentral lists this ribosomal RNA (253 nucleotides) under uncultured bacterium. Its description in RNAcentral is "partial 16S ribosomal RNA". It matches the Rfam family "Bacterial small subunit ribosomal RNA", at positions 524 to 776 of the family's 1533-position model. The record is from RNAcentral.
UACGAAGGGGGCUAGCGUUGCUCGGAAUCACUGGGCGUGAAGGGUGCGUAGGCGGGUCUUUAAGUCCGGGGUGAAAUCCUGGAGCUCAACUCCAGAACUGCCUUUGAUACUGAGGAUCUUGAGUUCGGGAGAGGUGAGUGGAACUGCGAGUGUAGAGGUGAAAUUCGUAGAUAUUCGCAAGAACACCAGUGGCGAAGGCGGCUCCCUGGCCCGAUACUGACGCUGAGGCACGAAAGCGUGGGGAGCAAACAGG